Molecule: ribosomal RNA, 497 nt
Filed under: uncultured bacterium
Lineage: Bacteria
Description: partial 16S ribosomal RNA
Rfam family: Bacterial small subunit ribosomal RNA
Source: RNAcentral
GAUGAACGCUGGCGGCGUGCCUAAUACAUGCAAGUCGAGCGAACGGACGAGAAGCUUGCUUCUCUGAUGUUAGCGGCGGACGGGUGAGUAACACGUGGAUAACCUACCUAUAAGACUGGGAUAACUUCGGGAAACCGGAGCUAAUACCGGAUGAUAUUUUGAACCGCAUGGUUCAAAAGUGAAAGACGGUCUUGCUGUCACUUAUAGAUGGAUCCGCGCUGCAUUAGCUAGUUGGUAAGGUAACGGCUUACCAAGGCAACGAUGCAUAGCCGACCUGAGAGGGUGAUCGGCCACACUGGAACUGAGACACGGUCCAGACUCCUACCGGAGGCAGCAGUAGGGAAUCUUCCGCAAUGGGCGAAAGCCUGACGGAGCAACGCCGCGUGAGUGAUGAAGGUCUUCGGAUCGUAAAACUCUGUUAUUAGGGAAGAACAUAUGUGUAAGUAACUGUGCACAUCUUGACGGUACCUAAUCAGAAAGCCACGGCUAACUACGUG